GAUGAACGCUGGCGGCGUGCCUAACACAUGCAAGUCGAGCGAAGCAAUUAAGAGGAAGUUUUCGGAUGGAAUCUUAAAUGACUGAGCGGCGGACGGGUGAGUAACGCGUGGGCAACCUGCCUUAUACAGGGGGAUAACAGUUAGAAAUGACUGCUAAUACCGCAUAAGCGCACAGGAACGCAUGUUCCGGUGUGAAAAACUCCGGUGGUAUAAGAUGGGCCCGCGUCUGAUUAGGUAGUUGGUGGGGCAGCGGCCUACCAAGCCGACGAUCAGUAGCCGACCUGAGAGGGUGACCGGCCACAUUGGGACUGAGACACGGCCCAA
This 324-nucleotide ribosomal RNA is filed under the name uncultured bacterium. Its description in RNAcentral is "bacterial SSU rRNA". It matches the Rfam family "Bacterial small subunit ribosomal RNA", at positions 28 to 334 of the family's 1533-position model. The record is from RNAcentral.